UUCCUUGCAUAACUCUUUCUUCCCUUGACCUCUCAAUGGCAUGUGACCCUGGCAUCACUUCCUCCUUAAAUGUCCCUCUCUGACUUCCAUGACGUGAACUCUCCUGCUUUUCUGGACAGCCUUCUGGGUCUCUCCAGUUGAGACUCUCUGCUGAUCCAGACCCAAACAAUCGACUGCCUACUGAGCAUCACCACCCCAUGUGCCACAGUCACUGGACAUCGGCAUGUCUAAAGCAGUUCCUCACCAGCUCCGCACCCCCAUCCCUACUCCUGGGUUCUACUGGCAAUCAUAACAGGAGGAAUGAAGAUUAGACUUCAGGAGGAACCGGGGGAAAAGAGGAACCCAGCAGGGCAAAUGUGCUAUUCAUCUGUCAUCUCUUAGCCUGGAAACUUCCCCAGGAGCAGAGUCAUCAAUCACAAAAUGUUAACUCCAAGGGGAUUUUCAAGGCUCUCCUACCCGGCAGGUAAACCACCUGAAGCUUCGGACCGGCUGGGUCACCUCGGGAAAGUAACUUAACCUCUCUGAACGCCCCCAAGGUCAGAAAGCUUUGCUUUCGGGGGAGAAAGCGGUAUGCAAACAAGACGCAUACGAAACACACACCGCGGGCGCCGGC
This 613-nucleotide long non-coding RNA is filed under the name Equus asinus (donkey). RNAcentral describes it as "lncRNA (ENSEASG00005036851.1)". The record is from RNAcentral. Lineage: Eukaryota; Metazoa; Chordata; Mammalia; Perissodactyla; Equidae.